UGGGGAAUAUUGGACAAUGGGCGCAAGCCUGAUCCAGCCAUGCCGCGUGAGUGACGAAGGCCUUAGGGUUGUAAAGCUCUUUUGGCGGGGAAGAUAAUGACGGUACCCGCAGAAUAAGCUCCGGCUAACUUCGUGCCAGCAGCCGCGGUAAUACGAAGGGAGCUAGCGUUAUCCGGAAUUAUUGGGUUUAAAGGGUGCGUAGGCGGACUAAUAAGUCAGUGGUGAAAGCCUGCAGCUUAACUGCAGAAUUGCCAUUGAUACUGUUAGUCUUGAGUACAGUUGAGGUAGGCGGAAUGUGUCAUGUAGCGGUGAAAUGCUUAGAUAUGACACAGAACACCGAUUGCGAAGGCAGCUUGCUAAGCUGUAACUGACGCUGAGGCACGAAAGCGUGGGGAGCAAACA
Molecule: ribosomal RNA, 402 nt
Filed under: uncultured bacterium
Lineage: Bacteria
Description: bacterial SSU rRNA
Rfam family: Bacterial small subunit ribosomal RNA
Source: RNAcentral